CAGAGACACUGCCUCAUGCAUACACACACACACACUGUCUAAUACGUGUACACACACAGCCUAAUACAUACAUACACAGACACUGCCUAGUACAUACUGCUAUACCUGGAAUGUACUGCAUACUCUCUCACUUACCUCUCACUUUAACUAGUGGCUCUGCCCCUGUGAUGACAGUCAGAGUGUGCAGCAGUGAUGUUUAAGAUGUUUACUCAUGUAUUCCU
Non-coding RNA from Pelobates cultripes (western spadefoot toad), 221 nucleotides. NCBI's taxonomy places the organism in Eukaryota, Metazoa, Chordata, Amphibia, Anura, Pelobatidae. The record is from the annotation of a GenBank genome assembly.